UAAAAAAAAGCUUGCUUCUCUUUCCAGCGGCGGACGGGUGAGUAAUGCCUAGGAAUCUGCCUGGUAGUGGGGGAUAACGUCCGGAAACGGACGCUAAUACCGCAUACGUCCUACGGGAGAAAGCAGGGGACCUUCGGGCCUUGCGCUAUCAGAUGAGCCUAGGUCGGAUUAGCUAGUUGGUGAGGUAAUGGCUCACCAAGGCGACGAUCCGUAACUGGUCUGAGAGGAUGAUCAGUCACACUGGAACUGAGACACGGUCCAGACUCCUACGGGAGGCAGCAGUGGGGAAUAUUGGACAAUGGGCGAAAGCCUGAUCCAGCCAUGCCGCGUGUGUGAAGAAGGUCUUCGGAUUGUAAAGCACUUUAAGUUGGGAGGAAGGGUACUUACCUAAUACGUGAGUAUUUUGACGUUACCGACAGAAUAAGCACCGGCUAACUCUGUGCCAGCAGCCGCGGUAAUACAGAGGGUGCAAGCGUUAAUCGGAAUUACUGGGCGUAAAGCGCGCGUAGGUGGUUCGUA
Molecule: ribosomal RNA, 519 nt
Filed under: Pseudomonas chlororaphis
Lineage: Bacteria; Pseudomonadati; Pseudomonadota; Gammaproteobacteria; Pseudomonadales; Pseudomonadaceae
Description: bacterial SSU rRNA
Rfam family: Bacterial small subunit ribosomal RNA
Source: RNAcentral